ACAAUUAGAGAAUGAAAAGAAGAAAAGAGAAAUAGCAGAAAAAGAAAAGGAAAGAAUAGAACGUGAAAAGGAAGAGCUAAUGGAACGUCUAAGGCAGAUUGAAGAACAGACAAUGAAAGCUCAGAAAGGUUGUAUAAUAAAAAUAUUAAUAAUUUACAUACAGAAAACUCCUCAAGUAAAGAAGCACUAAAAAAUAUAAGGAAGACAGAACUUAAGAAAGAAUAUAGAGCAUCCCUAUCAAGACAAUUUCAGAUCAGUCAUCUUAAGGCAAAGGACAUCCAAGUUGUUUUUUGUUUUUGCUUUGUUUUUCUAAUAAAGCUUUCACAGGCUACCUUAAAAUCUGCAUGAUUAUCUUGUAAUUUAUGCUAAAUUCUCAUUCAAAUGCAGUAACUUUGCCCAUAUUUAACUCAUGAUAUUUAGUAGAUUAACUUGUAAUUUUUCAUUGAAGAAGAAACUUUAAUACUUUAUUAUUAUUAGAAAAAAUUUUUUAUUGAUGUCUUUAUUAUUUCAUAUCAAUCAUUAAACAGAACUAUUUUUCCA
Molecule: long non-coding RNA, 540 nt
Organism: Galeopterus variegatus (Sunda flying lemur)
Lineage: Eukaryota; Metazoa; Chordata; Mammalia; Dermoptera; Cynocephalidae
Exons: 2
Source: RefSeq, a predicted model, not a curated record